GUCUCCUACUUCACCAUUCUGUAUAAAUGCUCUUUUGUGCUACCACCAAUUGAUUACUACACCAAUAAACUCCUGUGUAACGCAGGGCAAGGACAGUCUAAAGCACAACAUGGUUCACACGUGUUAAAAAGCUAGACCUCCUCGCUGUCGCAGAGAAGCAGGCAGAUGACACACUACAUCAAUGUUGAGGCCAAGAUGUCCACCGUCUCCCCAGACUGACAGCAGCCUUAACAGAAACUCCUGCAGGGCAGUGGGUGGAAGCAUGGAGAAGUCAGACAAUAAAAAAGACUUUUGGGCAAGGUCAGUGAAUUUGAAGAACGAACCAGGGCAAUGCCAGGAGUUUGCAGUGCUCAUCUGCUGGGGACUGGUGGAAGAGAUUUUGAAUGUAGGUGAUGUCACCUCACAUAUGGUGUGCUGCUAAACAGGCAGUGUCUGCAGAGCAUUUGUUGUUGCUGCGUAUCAUCACUACAGAAGAACUCACGUGAGUGGGAAGAAAUGCAAUUGUGUGUUCAGCAGUGGUGGUGUUGGGGCAUCUUGGGUUAAAAGCCCAAGGUUAAGCAUGGUGACUGCCAAAAACAUGCACUUUUUGUUAGGAAUGCUUGAAAUAAUUAAAAGUCCGAUUUUUCAGUGGUGCACUGUGGAUACUGUGCAUAGACUCAGUGAAAUUUGUCAAAUUUCAGGUAACGUUUAUAAAGCUUCAAAGGGCCAGGACAUUCUUUGAAACUACUCAUGUGAGGAGUCCUUCCACAUAGCCACGAAAAAUGAGAAUUCCCACAAUCUCUUCCUUGCAGGAACCUGCUCUAGUCUGAAUACUGACCUGCUCUUGAAACAUAUGAAAGAUAUUUUUUUUAUUUUUUUUUUAGUAAAUGCAGACAUAAUAUUUGUGUUAUUUUACCAUCUUCUGCAUCUCUAAAAGCUUUUUUAAAAAUAUUUUUUAAAUAAUUUUUUAAAAUUAUUAUUUUUUAAUUAUUUUAUUAUGAUAAAAGACUUUAUCAUAAUACUGUUUCUGGAUUUGGCCCCUACGUGAAAUCAAAAGCAGAGAAAUUCCUUUAGAGUGUGGAUGAAAUCUCAGACCAUGGGUGUGGAAGUAUAACCUUAGCUAUGACUGUGAUGUUAAAUAUCCACUGAUAAAGUAUUUGUGUAGCUGUGGAUCAUCAAGCAAGAUGUGCAAGUGGCAGACUGAACUGUUCCCAACAAACUGUGGCUGUCUGCCCAGCCAAUAUAUAUUGUCAUGACAAUUAUUUGCAAAAUAACUGCAGCUAGUUUCUGUAUAACUCCUGUGAGUUUCCUUGUUAUCAGCCACAUAUGCUUGAUGCCUAACAUUUGAAUCUUUAAAAGGUUUGAAGCUUUUAUUUUCUAUAGCUAUCACAGGUUGACAAGAGUCACUGUGGCAGCAACAGGAAAGUGUUUGGGAUCAGUCUAAGGAGAGGGAGAAAAGCUGGAGGAAGGGCAUGGUGAAACUGGGGCAUUUGUGGCACUUUCUAGGAGUAGGGGCUCAUGUCACUUUUCUGGUUGCUUUGUGAGGGCUGUUAAAUUGUAAUGCCAAAGCCUUUUCCAUCAGUGGCCUAAAAGUAAUGCGUAUUUGAGUAUUACAGAUUAUUUAGACAGUAGCUUCAUAGUUUGUGGCUGCUCAGGCAUCAGCCGCAAGGAAAAUCCGCGGUUAUGCUCACCCAGCUGGAUAGAUAGCUUGUGACUAAAGUGUCUGAUCAACAAGGCUUAUGUUUGAGAUCUAGCAUUUGGGCUGCUUUCAAAGUAGCUGCAAGAAUUAAGCAGGAAAUAUUUCUAAUGAGAAACUGCAAUUGGUUUCUUGCUCCCUUUCAAACUGAAAAAGACACAAAAUCAAUCAAAACUCAGGGUAAAUUAUUCACCUGACUUUAGCAAAGAAACAAACUGGCAAUAAAAGGCCCUUCAUUGUGAGAGGCAGCAGAGCCCAUACAGCAAAUGGGGCUUUAGAAAGUGCUGCUGAGCAGCCUCCUCCAGUUUGUGUCUCUGCCCUAGCCAUUCUCCUGCUAGGCAUUUGCAAUUUUCCAGGUUGUGCACAAAUAAAACACUGCAUUCAAUGUGGGGAAAAGACAUAGGCAAGCAACACCAACAUGUCACACCCAGUUUUAAAGUCCAAGGUACCAUUUUGCAUUAAGAGAAUAACAAAUCUUUCAGGUGAACAAAUAUUCAAGUCCUGGAGCAGUACACUGAGGCAGAGGUUUAAUGAACUCUUUAGGGGUGGUUUUUCAGCUUGUGUAAAUUGGCUCAGAAAAAAAAAAAAAAAAAAAAAAAAAAGAAUCUCCACAUGAAUAAACAAACAAAAAAAAAAAAAAAAAAAAAAAAAAAAAAAGCCAGCAAAAAAGUUGCCCUGUCUUUAUAUAACUACACAGUAAUGAUCUCUCCCUGUUCUGCUGGGGAGCUUUUAUCCUCAAACGCUGUGUUCCAUGUGGAUUAUCUUGAUGUUUUUUUUUUCCCCAUUUAACACAGGAGAUAAAGACUCUGGCCUCUGUAUUUAACUGUAGCAUUUUCUAUCAGAAAAUAAGGCAAUACUUUCUAAGGGUAGCUCAUGCAUUGAACUCAGCUGUCAAAGCUACUCAUGCUGCCUUGGGUAAUUGGCUACUCACAAAUCUUUAUCUAAAGUAUAAAGUAAAUAACUACCAAAAAGCCUAACCUAAACUGAAGCUGUAAAUUAUCCCACAAAUUCCUUUUACUGCUGUUUUGCUUGGAU
Cairina moschata (Muscovy duck) is the source of this 2710-nucleotide long non-coding RNA. The record is from Ensembl. Lineage: Eukaryota; Metazoa; Chordata; Aves; Anseriformes; Anatidae.